CUUCAGUUUGACUGAUAAGACGUUUCAUAGUGUGCGUGCGUAAAAUGUUGUGAAAUAUUUUUCAAGCUGAAAAAAAGGUGAUUUCAGUGAAGUGUUACAGAAUUAAUAGUGGAAAAUCAAUUGUUCAAACUCUAAAGAGAAAGGUGAGUCACGGUGUUGUGAUCAAUGCAGCAUCCGGAGGAAGAGUCUCCGUGUGAUUUGGCGUGAGAGCUGGAGGCGCAAGAGUUUGUGAGAAGGCACAAGAAAAUGCCACUCGCCCACCGGAUCAAUGACGAUGCCCAUGUCCAACGAUGCAGCCUGAGAGGCAAAAACCGAGAAAGGUUGUGAAUUGUAUGUGGCGCUUAUUGCAAAACCAUUCUCAAUUCCAUCGCGAGUGUUGUUGUGAAGGCAGCGCAAUCGGCUGUUGGAGUCGCUCUCAAAUCCCGCCAGUUGUUUCAUGAUCGUUGAUCUGAACAGAGCGAAUUAAUUUUGUGUCUCCGGCGUUUUUUUUUUUAAUUUUGGAAAUCUCAAUAUUUCCCACUUCUGAAAAUUGUGAGCGGUAUUUUUUUUUAUUCUGACGGGAAGUGAUCUUUUUUUUGGGUGAAAAGUGCAAAGAUACCUCAUAGUGGAUUAGUUUAAGACAAAUCUUUGAGGUUUUUAUUGUAAAGUGUUGUUCAGCCACAAGAAAAAGCCAGCAAGAGCUCAAAAAAAGUAAAAUUGCUGUGUAUUCAGUGGAGCUGUUCUUACAAUAUUGUACAGUGCUGUGAAGCAAUAGACACGACUAAACGAGAGUGUGGCACUUGGUAAAUAAGGAGAUAUUUUACCAUUGAGCGCAAUUUCAUUUUUUUUCAUCAUCUUGAAGCAGUUUAUAAUGCAAGAAUAAAACCGCAGUGAGAGAAGAAUGUGCACAAGAUACAGUGGUUGGAAUUGAAAUUUAUAUGAGAUUAUUAAUGAGAUAAUCUAAAAAAAAGAAGCUAAUGAGUUUAAAACAUUUUUGGAAUAUUGAAGGGUUUCUAUGUGAUCCAAAGGACUUUUUGGGGACGAUUUGUGUGUGAGUGGCAUUAAAAUUAGACAAGUUGAAAGCAUAAAAGCAUAAGAAUGAGCUUCGUCAAUUCCAUCCUCUUCUCAUCAACGGAGAUGAGCAAUUUUCUUCCAUUCUUGGGAGUUAUUGUCUGCGUUGGAGCCAUGCUAACAUUUCUAAUCAAAGCAGCCAUAAUACUGCGUGUCCAAGGAGAUGGUGGAGAUGCAAUUCGUGCCACAGCCGUUUCAAAUGCACACAACAGCAGUCGGAUGCAAGUUCCAAGGCUCAAGAUGACACGAGUUCACAUACCUUUUACGUUCCGCCUGCUGGAGAGUGUAAAUACUUCAUAUGAAGAGGUUUGCCUUGCUGUGUCCAGCCAAGUGAGAUACACAUUGCAAGCUUUUUGGGCUGUCUCCAUCAGAGAACUCCACAUGUCACUGUGGCGACCAUGGACUGAGCUUCGUGAAGCUGCCUACAUGAGAAAUCGUGGAAUUGUUGAUGUUCAACACUAUCAGCAUCUGGCUGUAGAUAUUAGGAAUAAAUCCCCACACAGUGAAGAAAUCAUCACAUUGAAAUCACCAAAUUCACCUCUUGCUCUGGGAGCACCACCAAGACUGUCCUAUCCACUGGUCAUUUUUCUCAUUCGUGACUUUGAACAAGAUGAAAUUCUUCAUCCUGACGAAACUGUGAUCUUGGUGAAUGUAGUUCAUCUGAGAGAUCCAGUUUGUCCUCUUCCCACAUCCGUCUUAGCGCAGUAUCUCAAACAAUCAAGUGGACAAUUAUCAUGUCUGAAGCAACUCUAUCUUGCCACUGGAGAUCCACUCUCUGGCGAUGAGACAACAACACCAAUGCAGACGGGAUCUCUGUCCCUAGCUGAGCCAGUAGCCUGUGCAGGUACAGGUGGGCCUAUUCUGUGCUCAGAUGGGCCUCAGAUGGAGCAAUUGUGCGUGGUUUGUCACUACUUUCCACUCUCACGUGCACUCCUGCCCUGUCGACAUACUUGCAUCUGUGCCGUGUGUUUCUCAAAAUUGGAGCGAUGUCCAAUGUGCAGGGCACCAAUAACCAGUUACUUCUGCAUCAGAUCAGAAGAAUAUCUGCCGGCUAAUCAUAUCGAAUCAAGACCGGCCAAGAUAAAAGGCAAUGUCCACUGGUUGGAUGCUCUCAAUGAUCGUCUAACGGACUUUUUAGGUUUUAGAUAGGUUCACCAAGAAAAAAAAGAUCAUUAUGAGGAGUUGUGACAAUGGAUGGACUAUUCCCACCCGGAAAGGCGAACCAAGAUUUUGGUUCGAUGGACAGAGAGGCAAAGAUGGAGAGGUAUGUGUGUUAAAAAAAAGAGAGAAAAGUCAGAGAGAAACCUUGUCCGUCCUUCAGCAUCAGCUUCUUAAUAAAUAUGGCAAAAAAAUGUAAAUUAAUUUAGUAAUAACACAUCACGAUGAUAUAAUUUCAGACUUAGCUGUAAAGUGUAACUAUUACUUUUUAAAUUUGUAACAGUUAGAUAUGGAUAUAUUUUUUUAAAUAUGUGUAAAAGAAAUGAUGCAGGUAAAUUGAGUAAUAAUGAUUACUUCAUUUUUUUUUAAAGCAAUGUAUCUUUUGCAACAAAUUUACAAAAAAAGAGAAUUCUUUGAAUAUUCACGUGAAUGUGAAUGAAAUAAUAUAAUUAUUUUUUUCCUAUCUAAUUACUAAUUAAUUUAAAAAUGAAAAAUAAUUAGAGAAAGAUUAAGAAAACCAGAAAAUAUCUCCUCACUGAAGUAAUAAUCACGUUAGCUUGUAAUGUUUUCAGAGGCAGAGUUGGAAGCAGAUAGUCUGCUGUGUAAGAUUUUUCUGAUGAUAUCCAUUGGAAUUAUUAUCUAUAUUUGAAACUCUAAUUACAAUGAAGAGUUGAAUGAGUCACAAAGGUACAACUGCUUAAAAUAAUUGCACUUUUUUGAUUGUCCGGGAUGAAAAUAAGGAAAACACAAUUUUAAACCGAUUUUUUAUGUAACAGAAUAUUUUCUAACUUUCUGGUACAAUAGAGCACUCGCUCGACUUUGUGAAUGUCCUAAGUUCAAUUCUUCUUUAAGUCCAGAAAUAAUCUGGCGCAAAACGUGGGAAUAUCAGUACAAAUAAGGGCAGAAUCACAUUGACAGUAAAAUGCUCGCCGUAGCCUCAACGUAUUUCGUUAAUUUAUGCAUUUUCAUUGCAAUUCUUACGCAAAUUUUCCAUAACCGUAUUACCUUAUCUCAUACUCGGUGGCACUAGGUGAAAAUAAUACAAGAAAAUUGAAGAAAUAAAACGAAAAUUCGAUAAACGGUGAGCAAAAAAACUAUACGAUUAAUUUCUCUUACAGUCUUUUUUGCUCACCGUUUAUCGAAUUUUCGUCUCAUUUCUUCAAUUUUCUUAUAUUAUUUUCAGCUAGUGUCACCGAGUAUCAGAUAAGGUAAUACGGUAAUCGAGAAUUUGCAUAAGAAUUCCAAUGAAAAUGCGUAAAUUAACGAAAUACGGUGAGCAUUUUACUGUCAAUGUGACUCUGCCCUAAAGCCGACAUUUGUAGUUUUUCAACUCUUUUUUUUUAACGUGUAUCAAUCUCAAUGGCUAAUGGAUAAAGCGCUGGAUUUUUCGUGCAGAAGACCUUGGCUUGAUCCUUAAUUGAAUCACGUCCAGUUAAAAUUUCAAAAAAAAAAUACACAGUCGAAUUCGUACAACUUAAAGCAAAAUAUACCAAAAAUGCAAUAAAAGAAUGAAGCGGUACACAGUGAUUAUAAUAAUAAAUCCCUAAUUUUUUCUUAACAAUCUUUUAAAUUGAAUUAUCUUCAAAGUCAUAGAAGGAUUGAGACGUAUGCCCACCAGCGCAUAAUAACUUUUGUUUGUAAAUAUGUUUUCAAAAUUUCCUGUGAGAGUGAGCGAGAUGACUAGAUCAAGCUUUCAUUCACUCUCACUGAAAUCUCAAAAAUAUGUUUACAAAACAAAAGUUAUUGUGCGUUGAGCAUUAAAUGCUCCUUAAUAACGGCUACACGAACCUGAAUAAUAUUCCAUUUCCAAUUCAAAAUUGUAAAGAAUACACAUGCAUUCUUAUUAGAUGAGAUUCUUAAUAAUCUCAUCUACUAUAAUCCUAACAAAAUUUCAUGUCGUCCGAUUGAGCUCAAACUUGGCCAAAAUGUGUGAUCACGAAUAUAUCGCUCCUUGGAAAUUACAAGGGGCCAACUAAUUUUCGGCCAUUUUUCAGGAGACAGCAUGAAAGAUUCAACAUUGUAUAAAUAAUUAGCUCAAUUAAGUAUGUUAAUAAAAACAAUUUAAUUCUUUUCUAUUUGUAUGAACAUUAUUAUAAACAUUAUAAACAUCGAAACAUAGAUAUUUUUACCUUUCAAAAUAUGUUUUUUUUUAUGAGUUAGCUCUUUGUCAUUCUAAAUAAUGCGCAAAUUUUCAUAAAAUUAGAAUGACAUGGGAUCAACUUGCUUGAGUUAGUCCCUUUUUUCACAAAAAUUUGAACGAUCUAUUUUGUGCCCCUUGACUUCAAAAUAACCGUGCAGGCGCAAUCAUAAAGAGUAAAAUUUUGAAAAACUUUUCUAAUAACGAAAUUUAUUGACUUAUAUCAUCUGAAAUUUUAUUAAA
This is an RNA transcript of Phlebotomus papatasi, 4588 nucleotides long. It is a transcript of the gene named cell growth regulator with RING finger domain protein 1-like, with no coding region annotated. Lineage: Eukaryota; Metazoa; Arthropoda; Insecta; Diptera; Psychodidae. The record is from RefSeq and is a predicted model, not a curated record. The transcript is spliced from 10 exons.